AAAUGUCAAUGCUGAUCAUUCUGGAACCGUCAUCGUCUGCAUACGGCAUAAAACAGUAGAAAAAUAAUGUUAAUUUAAAAAAAAAAUCCCAAAAAUGGUGCAAUAAUUGUUUCUGAGCUCGUGUCCUACUGAAUUCCGGAAGCUGGGCAGGAAAUGUAAUAAUUAAAGGAGUUCGAUUUUCCUGGUUCCUGGCUUUCCUUUGCGCAAGAUAGCUGGAAUUUAUAAGAAGUGCCGGCUCC
This is a long non-coding RNA of Aedes aegypti (yellow fever mosquito), 239 nucleotides long. RefSeq lists it as uncharacterized. NCBI's taxonomy places the organism in Eukaryota, Metazoa, Arthropoda, Insecta, Diptera, Culicidae. The transcript has 2 exons. The record is from RefSeq and is a predicted model, not a curated record.